Molecule: ribosomal RNA, 301 nt
Filed under: uncultured bacterium
Lineage: Bacteria
Description: partial 16S ribosomal RNA
Rfam family: Bacterial small subunit ribosomal RNA
Source: RNAcentral
CAGCCGCCGUGGGAAUACGUAGGGUGCGAGCGUUGUCCGGAAUUACUGGGCGUAAAGGGCUCGUAGGUGGUUUGUCGCGUCGUCUGUGAAAUUCUGGGGCUUAACUCCGGGCGUGCAGGCGAUACGGGCAUAACUUGAGUGCUGUAGGGGUAACUGGAAUUCCUGGUGUAGCGGUGAAAUGCGCAGAUAUCAGGAGGAACACCGAUGGCGAAGGCAGGUUACUGGGCAGUUACUGACGCUGAGGAGCGAAAGCAUGGGUAGCGAACAGGAUUAGAUACCCCAGUAGUCCCUGUCUCUUAUA